UGGAUCAACGGUGCUGGAGACUGAAAUCCUCUAUUUAUCCACAGAACAGAUACUGUUUGGGCAACAGCACUAAGCUUCCUUAUCUCACUAAUACGCUUCACCCUCUGCUUGAAGAAGGGAGAAGAAGAUAAUUCGGACUCCAUGCCCUCCAGCCUCAGAAAAG
Molecule: unclassified non-coding RNA, 163 nt
Organism: Chelonoidis abingdonii (Abingdon island giant tortoise)
Lineage: Eukaryota; Metazoa; Chordata; Testudines; Testudinidae
Source: Ensembl